AGACCCUCCCCUGUUACUAACAACACCUGAAAUUAUUCAAAGCUUUUAUUAUAGGUGAAAUAUAUCAACCUUUACUCUGGCCAUUAAUACAGAGUCAGAAUGUUCCCUCUGUUUCCAGGCCAGCAUAGAGAGGGACAGCGUUAGCACCUUGCCACAUACCUGGACCAAACCAUGCUACAUGACAGUACAGAGCCUGUUGUAUUCUCAGGGAAGGAGAGAGUCUCUUGUAGUGAAAUGCCUCGACUUAACAAUUUUACAUCGACAGCGUAGUGCAUGGAACCAAAGUCAGUGUCUGACCCAGUGAAUCCCGAAACUCUCUCUGUCUCCAUGCUUCUCUGUAGCUCACUUCCUGUUAGAGAUCUGCAGAGUCCACAAGAUGGUCCGAUGCCAAAUUGCUCCCUUUAAAAGCAGAAGACAACACUAACACCAGCCAUGUUGCUUUCUCCAGUGAUGUGCUCAAUAAUAAGAUAAUGCAAUUUACUGUUCCACCCUGGAUGCUGCAGUCUAUGGGGUAACAUGGUGGGUUCGCUAGGAUGUAAUAUGUAAAUCAGGUGUUUUUAUUGUCAAUCGUUAAAAGAAUUGUAGAGCCCCAAACAUAGAUGUUAAAAAGUUCACAUGCAGCCAUGGGCUCCCUGUUCAGUUUAAGAAUAGCACCCGUCCUUGUUCAUUGGUGUUAGUCAUUCGCUAGUGAACAUGGAAAGAUGGAGGCAUCACUUUGCACUUGGAUCAGCACCACACCUAAGGCAACAGGACUAGAAUCUGUCCCUCCAAAUUGCUAGAUGUGGCUCUCUCAUUUCAUUCCCAGGAAGCUCCUGUUGUUGUGGGAGUCUUCUCCCAGGCAGAAUAGCCUUGGAGCCUGACUGUGCUGAUUUCCUUGCAGCAUCCUAGCCCAGGACUCCACCAAACUGGCUGAAGAGAUGAUCCAGCUGAGAGUGGUGCACGGCCUUAUAUGUGCUAUGGGGAACCAGGAUCAUACCACCUGCCAGAGACAGGCCAGCAUCUCUCUAGAGUAUUUUGUCCGGACAUUUCCCAUUGUGGAGGAGCAUGUGAGGAAGGCAACAGGAGAGACUCUGUUCCAGCUUUUUAUGGUAAAUGGGCUUCUCUACCUGCCAGGGCUUGUUACUGGUCUGGAACAUGGGUCCAUUUUGCAGGGAUAAUGGGGACUGGCUUUCAUUCCUCUAAAGCCGCAGUGGAGCUCCAGUUCCUGAUCUGACUCCAGAGACCACAGGGGUCAGAUCACAAUGUCCUCAGUUAAAUGAAUUGCUUUGGUUUUGGCCCAACACCCCCGAAGACCUCGCUCCAUGCAGUGGGUAUCAGUGUGCACUUGCACUAUCCAUCUGUACUAAUGAGGUGGGACGAUUGGUGCAAAUCACAGCAGGGCCUGAGGUCUGAAGUCUGGGGGGAGGGGAUGGUUCUUUUCUGACUUGGGGUCCAUCGUUAGUGUAACUGGAGUAACGCUGAGGGACGUGUCUGGACUCACGUUUGCGUGGUGAUGUUGGAAAAGUGGCGAGACAUGCAGGGCUAGCAGGGUCCCAGAAUGAGGAGUUAGGCCUGAGCCUCCAUCCGAAUCUGAGCUCUCCUGCCUUGAGGUGGCUCAGGACUGAACACCAUGUAACUCAGCGGAAGCCCUGUCACAUGGGCCCAUUAAACCUGGGCAGGACAAAGCCAUAGGAAAUGUCCUGCAGGCAACAAUCCUGGCUCGUGCUGGACUCA
Molecule: long non-coding RNA, 1713 nt
Organism: Mauremys mutica (yellowpond turtle)
Lineage: Eukaryota; Metazoa; Chordata; Testudines; Geoemydidae
Exons: 3
Source: RefSeq, a predicted model, not a curated record